This 454-nucleotide ribosomal RNA is filed under the name uncultured Paludibacter sp. Its description in RNAcentral is "partial 16S ribosomal RNA". It matches the Rfam family "Bacterial small subunit ribosomal RNA", at positions 341 to 792 of the family's 1533-position model. Lineage: Bacteria; Pseudomonadati; Bacteroidota; Bacteroidia; Bacteroidales; Paludibacteraceae. The record is from RNAcentral.
ACGGAAGGCAGCAGUGAGGAAUAUUGGUCAAUGGGCGAGAGUCUGAACCAGCCAAGUCGCGUGAGGGAAGACGGCCCUAUGGGUUGUAAACCUCUUUUGCCGGGGGAUAAAGUCUGGGAUGCGUCUCAGUUUGCAGGUACCCGGUGAAUAAGGAUCGGCUAACUCCGUGCCAGCAGCCGCGGUAAUACGGAGGAUCCGAGUGUUAUCCGGAUUUAUUGGGUUUAAAGGGUGCGCAGGCGGUGGAUCAAGUCAGUGGUGAAAUGGUGCGGCUCAACCGUAGCAUUGCCGUUGAAACUGGUUCACUUGAGUGCGGAUGAGGCAGGCGGAAUGUGUUGUGUAGCGGUGAAAUGCAUAGAUAUGACACAGAACACCGAUUGCGAGGGCAGCUUGCCAGGCCGCAACUGACGCUGAGGCACGAAAGUGCGGGGAUCGAACAGGAUUAGAUACCCUGGUA